Molecule: long non-coding RNA, 267 nt
Filed under: Lathyrus oleraceus (garden pea)
Lineage: Eukaryota; Viridiplantae; Streptophyta; Magnoliopsida; Fabales; Fabaceae
Description: Pisum sativum (pea) long non-coding RNA (PSAT_LNC020557)
Source: RNAcentral
GCACGCCAUGCUUAAUCUCGUCCGUCCAGCUUUCGUUUUGUCUUAUAUGACUUAAGUUGAGCUGACCGGUUGAUGAAUGUUCAAGUGACAUGUUUAUUUUUAAAUGAACAUUUUAUUAUUUGUGUCACAUGCUGAGUAAUCCUGGACCGGGCCUUGGCUUCGCCUGCUAUUCACACACGACCUCAAGGCCCAUCAACCAUUAUUUCCCAUUUACUUUCAUUCUUUCAUUUAUUCAUUUUUUAUUUUUCUGUUUUGUUUUUUAUUAAU